Molecule: ribosomal RNA, 400 nt
Filed under: phytoplankton environmental sample
Lineage: Eukaryota
Description: partial small subunit ribosomal RNA
Rfam family: Eukaryotic small subunit ribosomal RNA
Source: RNAcentral
AGCUCCAAUAGCGUAUAUUAAAGUUGUUGCAGUUAAAAAGCUCGUAGUUGGAUUUCUGGUGUCUUUUUGCGUUUCCUUCUUUGCCAGCGAAAUGCUGGUGUUGGUCGCAAUGGAUGCCUUCUUUCUCCACAAAUUUGUUGCUGAAUCAUUAGUUUGGCUCGGUAAUAAAUGGGGAUCAUUUACUGUGAAAAAAUUAGAGUGUUCAAAGCAAGUAUUAUUUCUUGAAUACAUUAGCAUGGAAUAAUAAGAUAGGACUUGGGUAAUAUUUUGUUGGUUUGCAUAUCCAGGUAAUGAUUAAUAGGAACAUAUUGGGGAUAUCUGUAUUUUUUAGUCAGAGGUGAAAUUCUUGGAUUUAAGAAAGACAAACUACAGCGAAAGCAUUUAUCAAGGAUGUUUUCAU